This 324-nucleotide ribosomal RNA is filed under the name uncultured eukaryote. Its description in RNAcentral is "partial 18S ribosomal RNA". It matches the Rfam family "Eukaryotic small subunit ribosomal RNA", at positions 1470 to 1796 of the family's 1831-position model. The record is from RNAcentral.
CCCUUAGAUGUUCUGGGCCGCACGCGCGCUACACUGAUGCAUUCAACGAGUUUCUUCCUGGUCCGAGAGGAAUGGAUAACCUUUUGAAAGUGCAUCGUGAUAGGGAUAGACUAUUGCAAUUAUUGGUCUUCAACGAGGAAUUCCUAGUAGACGUAGUUCAUCAGACUGCAUCGAUUACGUCCCUGCCCUUUGUACACACCGCCCGUCGCUCCUACCGAUUGAAUGCUCAGGUGAGCCAUUCGGACUUUCAUCAUGCUGGUUUCCAGUUUUGAUGAAGGAAAGUCUUGCGAACCUUAUCAUUUAGAGGAAGGAGAAGUCGUAACA